This 679-nucleotide ribosomal RNA is filed under the name Salmonella enterica. Its description in RNAcentral is "partial 23S ribosomal RNA". It matches the Rfam family "Bacterial large subunit ribosomal RNA", at positions 1918 to 2596 of the family's 2925-position model. RNAcentral also lists the same sequence under 2 other names. Lineage: Bacteria; Pseudomonadati; Pseudomonadota; Gammaproteobacteria; Enterobacterales; Enterobacteriaceae. The record is from RNAcentral.
CCCCGGUAAACGGCGGCCGUAACUAUAACGGUCCUAAGGUAGCGAAAUUCCUUGUCGGGUAAGUUCCGACCUGCACGAAUGGCGUAAUGAUGGCCAGGCUGUCUCCACCCGAGACUCAGUGAAAUUGAACUCGCUGUGAAGAUGCAGUGUACCCGCGGCAAGACGGAAAGACCCCGUGAACCUUUACUAUAGCUUGACACUGAACAUUGAGCCUUGAUGUGUAGGAUAGGUGGGAGGCUUUGAAGUGUGGACGCCAGUCUGCAUGGAGCCGACCUUGAAAUACCACCCUUUAAUGUUUGAUGUUCUAACGUGGACCCGUAAUCCGGGUUGCGGACAGUGUCUGGUGGGUAGUUUGACUGGGGCGGUCUCCUCCUAAAGAGUAACGGAGGAGCACGAAGGUUGGCUAAUCCUGGUCGGACAUCAGGAGGUUAGUGCAAUGGCAUAAGCCAGCUUGACUGCGAGCGUGACGGCGCGAGCAGGUGCGAAAGCAGGUCAUAGUGAUCCGGUGGUUCUGAAUGGAAGGGCCAUCGCUCAACGGAUAAAAGGUACUCCGGGGAUAACAGGCUGAUACCGCCCAAGAGUUCAUAUCGACGGCGGUGUUUGGCACCUCGAUGUCGGCUCAUCACAUCCUGGGGCUGAAGUAGGUCCCAAGGGUAUGGCUGUUCGCCAUUUAAAGUGG